UUUAAAAUUGCACUAUUGGAUGAGUAUAUACAAAAAUUAGAAUUAUUAGCCAAUUAUAAUAGUUUAAGUGACUGUGCUAGAACCACGGAAUCUGAUAGUGCCUAACACCUUCCCUCGGGUCAACAGAAUUCCUUAUUCAGAAUUUCUUGCUCGCAGACUUCACAUGGAAAGUCGAAAUUUUUCUCGAUUUGGGAUUCAAAAUAAACCGGUGACUUGGGACACCAAAAACUAUCCCAAGUGGCGACUCUGAAUAAAUUGAAUAAUAAUCUCAUUUCGAAUAAUGUCACUUUAAUUAAAAAAAUUCCAUUAUACGUG
This 315-nucleotide long non-coding RNA is filed under the name Nicotiana benthamiana. RNAcentral's name for it is "long non-coding RNA (NBEN_LNC020666)". The record is from RNAcentral. Lineage: Eukaryota; Viridiplantae; Streptophyta; Magnoliopsida; Solanales; Solanaceae.